This 1138-nucleotide long non-coding RNA is filed under the name Marmota monax (woodchuck). The record is from RNAcentral. Lineage: Eukaryota; Metazoa; Chordata; Mammalia; Rodentia; Sciuridae.
CACGCCCAGUCAAGCCAGAGGGCCUUCUCUGGGUGGGCCCCGCCCCGCCCCCUACCGGAAGACGCACCCUCGAAAGCGGGCCCCGCCCCGGAAGCCCCAACCUGAAAGGCCCGUUCCAGGGAGAGGCCGCGGUAUCGCAUGAGGUAGGCAGUGCAGACAGCGGCUGAGCGGCUGCGACCGUUCUUGCAGUAGACCAGGCAGGCGCCACCGGCGCGCACCGCGGCCUCCAUGGCGGCACAGGUGGGCUCCAGAUGCACCAGCAGGUCCUCGUGCGGGUCGUCGAAAACGGGCACCCGCAGCUCGGCCACUCCGGGCGCGCUUGGGCCGGGCUGCAGGCGGGAGACGUUGACACAUAACGUGAUACCCGAGCGCUGCAGCAGUUCCGUGGCGCCCGCGGCGCGCGCGUUGCCGAGGAAGAGCGCGGGGGCGACGAGCGUGAACGUCGGCGGCGCGACCUCGGGGGACCUGCUGUGGGCAGCUCUUUCCGGGCUCAUCGCGGUGACCGCCCCGAGGGUCUACUUAGGGCCGAGGUCCCGCCCGCGCCUGGGCCCGCCGGGCGGGGUUAAGGUUAGGGUCAGCUGCGGGUGGCUAGGGCGGGACCUAGCAUUGGCUCUCUGAUUGGCCGUGGGUUGGGCGUGGCCUGGCAUUGACUCCGAUUGGCCGUGGCGUGGGUGGGGCCUUGCGCCUGCUUUCUGAUUGGCGGAAAGCGGGCGUCUCAGGACCCCACAGUGUUCCCUACUAGCUUGAGCCAUGCGGCCCUGUGCUGGAAGGGUGGUUGGUAGACGUGGACAUGGACUGGAUCAAGGAGUAGCUAAUCCAACACUGACCAGCGUCCUUCUGGCUUUCAUAAGGACCUCGUGGUUGUCCUAUGGGCUAUUGACAGAAGGCCACUUGGUUUCCUGUGGGUUUUUUUUUUUUAAAUUCUAAUCAGGUAUACAUGACAGAAGAAUGCUCUUUGAUUCAUUGUAUACAAAUGGAGUACAUUUUUUCACUUCACUGGUUGUACACGAAGUAGGGUUACACCUUCAUACAAUCAUACAUGUUUCUACGGUAAUGAUAUCCUCCUGUGGGUUUUUGUUAUUGUUGCAGCGUUAUACCUUUAUCUAUUUCCUAAUAAAUUGUCCUUUGUCAUCUUUGA